GACGAACGCUGGCGGCGUGCUUAACACAUGCAAGUCGAACGGAAAGGCCCUGCUUUUGUGGGGUGCUCGAGUGGCGAACGGGUGAGUAACACGUGAGUAACCUGCCCUUGACUUUGGGAUAACUUCAGGAAACUGGGGCUAAUACCGGAUAGGAGCUCCUGCUGCAUGGUGUGGGUUGGAAAGUUUCGGCGGUUGGGGAUGGACUCGCGGCUUAUCAGCUUGUUGGUGGGGUAGUGGCUUACCAAGGCUUUGACGGGUAGCCGGCCUGAGAGGGUGACCGGCCACAUUGGGACUGCGAUACGGCCCAGACUCCUACGGGAGGCAGCAGUGGGGAAUAUUGCACAAUGGGCGGAAGCCUGAUGCAGCAACGCCGCGUGCGGGAUGACGGCCUUCGGGUUGUAAACCGCUUUCGCCUGUGACGAAGCGUGAGUGACGGUAAUGGGUAAAGAAGCACCGGCUAACUACGUG
This 468-nucleotide ribosomal RNA is filed under the name uncultured bacterium. RNAcentral describes it as "partial 16S ribosomal RNA". It matches the Rfam family "Bacterial small subunit ribosomal RNA", at positions 28 to 507 of the family's 1533-position model. The record is from RNAcentral.